GACUUUCUCACCAACCCGAUCCAGCUCCGCUUUACCAGCAUGCUGGUGGACUCCGACUCCGUCGCCUCCAUCACCGACUCGGUGUCCGCCGUCAGCUCGGCAUCCGUCGGAUCUGCAUCGACGGAGCAAGGUCUCCACCUGAGAAUCAUCACGCCGCUUGCCCAGCAGAUUGGCGAUCUCUCUCUCAGAGAGGAUCCCGUGCAUCCUCGCGGCAACCCGCC
RNAcentral lists this long non-coding RNA (221 nucleotides) under Setaria italica (foxtail millet). Its description in RNAcentral is "long non-coding RNA (SITA_LNC002138)". The record is from RNAcentral. Lineage: Eukaryota; Viridiplantae; Streptophyta; Magnoliopsida; Poales; Poaceae.